Molecule: ribosomal RNA, 1371 nt
Filed under: uncultured bacterium
Lineage: Bacteria
Description: bacterial SSU rRNA
Rfam family: Bacterial small subunit ribosomal RNA
Source: RNAcentral
GAUGAACGCUGGCGGCGUGCCUAAUACAUGCAAGUCGAGCGAACGGACGAGAAGCUUGCUUCUCUGAUGUUAGCGGCGGACGGGUGAGUAACACGUGGAUAACCUACCUAUAAGACUGGGAUAACUUCGGGAAACCGGAGCUAAUACCGGAUAAUAUUUUGAACCGCAUGGUUCAAAAGUGAAAGACGGUCUUGCUGUCACUUAUAGAUGGAUCCGCGCUGCAUUAGCUAGUUGGUAAGGUAACGGCUUACCAAGGCAACGAUGCAUAGCCGACCUGAGAGGGUGAUCGGCCACACUGGAACUGAGACACGGUCCAGACUCCUACGGGAGGCAGCAGUAGGGAAUCUUCCGCAAUGGGCGAAAGCCUGACGGAGCAACGCCGCGUGAGUGAUGAAGGUCUUCGGAUCGUAAAACUCUGUUAUUAGGGAAGAACAUAUGUGUAAGUAACUGUGCACAUCUUGACGGUACCUAAUCAGAAAGCCACGGCUAACUACGUGCCAGCAGCCGCGGUAAUACGUAGGUGGCAAGCGUUAUCCGGAAUUAUUGGGCGUAAAGCGCGCGUAGGCGGUUUUUUAGUCUGAUGUGAAAGCCCACGGCUCAACCGUGGAGGGUCAUUGGAAACUGGAAAACUUGAGUGCAGAAGAGGAAAGUGGAAUUCCAUGCGUAGCGGUGAAAUGCGCAGAGAUAUGGAGGAACACCAGUGGCGAAGGCGACUUUCUGGUCUGUAACUGACGCUGAUGUGCGAAAGCGUGGGGAUCAAACAGGAUUAGAUACCCUGGUAGUCCACGCCGUAAACGAUGAGUGCUAAGUGUUAGGGGGUUUCCGCCCCUUAGUGCUGCAGCUAACGCAUUAAGCACUCCGCCUGGGGAGUACGACCGCAAGGUUGAAACUCAAAGGAAUUGACGGGGACCCGCACAAGCGGUGGAGCAUGUGGUUUAAUUCGAAGCAACGCGAAGAACCUUACCAAAUCUUGACAUCCUUUGACAACUCUAGAGAUAGAGCCUUCCCCUUCGGGGGACAAAGUGACAGGUGGUGCAUGGUUGUCGUCAGCUCGUGUCGUGAGAUGUUGGGUUAAGUCCCGCAACGAGCGCAACCCUUAAGCUUAGUUGCCAUCAUUAAGUUGGGCACUCUAAGUUGACUGCCGGUGACAAACCGGAGGAAGGUGGGGAUGACGUCAAAUCAUCAUGCCCCUUAUGAUUUGGGCUACACACGUGCUACAAUGGACAAUACAAGGGGCAGCGAAACCGCGAGGUCAAGCAAAUCCCAUAAAGUUGUUCUCAGUUCGGAUUGUAGUCUGCAACUCGACUACAUGAGGCUGGAAUCGCUAGUAAUCGUAGAUCAGCAUGCUACGGUGAAUACGUUCCCGGGUCU